AUUGAACGCUGGCGGCAGGCCUAACACAUGCCAGUCGAGCGGAUGAAGGGAGCUUGCUCCUGGAUUCAGCGGCGGACGGGUGAGUAAUGCCUAGGAAUCUGCCUGGUAGUGGGGGAUAACGUCCGGAAACGGGCGCUAAUACCGCAUACGUCCUGAGGGAGAAAGUGGGGGAUCUUCGGACCUCACGCUAUCAGAUGAGCCUAGGUCGGAUUAGCUAGUUGGUGGGGUAAAGGCCUACCAAGGCGACGAUCCGUAACUGGUCUGAGAGGAUGAUCAGACACACUGGAACUGAGACACGGUCCAGACUCCUACGGGAGGCAGCAGUGGGGAAUAUUGGACAAUGGGCGAAAGCCUGAUCCAGCCAUGCCGCGUGUGUGAAGAAGGUCUUCGGAUUGUAAAGCACUUUAAGUUGGGAGGAAGGGCAGUAAGUUAAUACCUUGCUGUUUUGACGUUACCAACAGAAUAAGCACCGGCUAACUUCGUG
RNAcentral lists this ribosomal RNA (484 nucleotides) under uncultured bacterium. RNAcentral's name for it is "partial 16S ribosomal RNA". It matches the Rfam family "Bacterial small subunit ribosomal RNA", at positions 30 to 507 of the family's 1533-position model. The record is from RNAcentral.